GGUCAAGGUGGUGCAGACACAGCAGAUGGAGGAGAAUGUCCUUGGCCUUCUGAGACGAGAGAUCAGCCUACAAUGAUCUGAACCAGGGAGCACCAGCAAAGCUGGUCGUUCUCCCCUACAGGCGUAUUAUUGCUGUUAUUAUUGGCUGGCAUGGUGUGACUCAUCAGAGGUAAAAAAAAAAGAAAUAGACACCAGGCAACUUUGAGCUUGGGCACGCA
Molecule: long non-coding RNA, 218 nt
Filed under: Gallus gallus (chicken)
Lineage: Eukaryota; Metazoa; Chordata; Aves; Galliformes; Phasianidae
Source: RNAcentral